GGGGAAUAUUGCGCAAUGGGGGAAACCCUGACGCAGCAACGCCGCGUGCGGGAUGAAGGCCUUCGGGUUGUAAACCGCUUUCAGUAGGGACGAUUGUGACGGUACCUACAGAAGAAGCCCCGGCCAACUACGUGCCAGCAGCCGCGGUAACACGUAGGGGGCGAGCGUUGUCCGGAUUUAUUGGGCGUAAAGAGCUCGUAGGCGGCUCAGUAAGUCGGGUGUGAAAACUCCAGGCUCAACCUGGAGACGCCACCCGAUACUGCUGUGGCUAGAGUCCGGUAGGGGAGCAUGGAAUUCCUGGUGUAGCGGUGAAAUGCGCAGAUAUCAGGAGGAACACCAGUGGCGAAGGCGGUGCUCUGGGCCGGUACUGACGCUGAGGAGCGAAAGCGUGGGGAGCAAAC
This 401-nucleotide ribosomal RNA is filed under the name uncultured bacterium. RNAcentral's name for it is "bacterial SSU rRNA". It matches the Rfam family "Bacterial small subunit ribosomal RNA", at positions 356 to 773 of the family's 1533-position model. The record is from RNAcentral.